GCCGAAGUGGCGGAAUGGCAGACGCGCCGGAUUCAAAAUCCGGUUCACCUGACAGUGAGUGUGGGUUCGAGUCCCACCUUCGGCA
RNAcentral lists this transfer RNA (85 nucleotides) under bacterium. RNAcentral's name for it is "tRNA-Leu". It matches the Rfam family "tRNA". From Rfam's summary of the family: Transfer RNA (tRNA) molecules are approximately 80 nucleotides in length. The record is from RNAcentral.